Long non-coding RNA from Felis catus (domestic cat), 2307 nucleotides. RefSeq lists it as uncharacterized. The transcript has 3 exons. Lineage: Eukaryota; Metazoa; Chordata; Mammalia; Carnivora; Felidae. The record is from RefSeq and is a predicted model, not a curated record.
UUGUUGCAAAUGGCAAGGUUUCAUUCAUUUUUAUGGCUGAGUAAUAUUUCAUCGUGUGUGUGUGUGUGUGUGUGUGUGUAUAUCAUAUCUCCUUUAUCCAUCCGUAGAACAUGUUUUGAGAAAUGACCUAUAUGAAUCAAAGGAGACAAUAAAUAAAGUUAAUGAUUCAACGUUUAUUAAAAAGUGAACAUUUGUGGAUUUUUAAAGCAUCAUAUGCCUUCCCUUUGUUUAGACACAAAAUAAAGUGGUCUGUCUCAGCAGUAUUCUGUUGGUUUCAGGAGGGCUGAGGAAAGAGCUGAGGCCUGAGUUCACCUUGACUCUGGAAAUUCCUGAUUCAUCCACUGGAACUUCAAUGGCAACAAACCAUCAUGCAUCAGGCACUUCUGGGCACUGACUUUUUCUUCACGCAUUUCCCCCUAGGCAACAAGCAUUUAUUGACUGUCUACUGUAUGCCCACAACUUUCUCUGUGCUGGGGAUACAACAGUAUAAAGACAGUCUGAAGCAUCUUCCACCAAAACCUUCUUGACCACCUGCCCCAGGGCUGUUGUGCUGGCCUGGGGACGCAGUAGUUUCUCUCACUUUUAUCCCUUUUGUGAGGUCAGCAAAAACGUAAGUGACGUAAGGUCAGCAGGGACAGGUGUCAGAGUGAAAGUGAAAGCAGGUGAGGACACAGAGAGCCAUGGGGGGAGGUAGAGGGUGAACAGGUGGCCUCUCCAGGAAUCCCCUCUAGGAAUAGAGUCACGCAAAGGAAGCCACUUUAAUUUUCUUGCAGAUGACAGUGGAGCUACAAAAGAAGAAACGCCAGCGUUCACGGUCCACGUCUUGACCUCUGAAGACUUUGCUGGCAGCUGACCUCACAGAGCCCAGGACGGAACUUGUUCAAAGAAACUCUCUGCCCAUUUAAUCAACUCCUCUGCUGCCCUCCCAGGGCCCUGAUGCUACUACUACAAGAACUUAUUUGUUCAAAUGAAUAUUAACAUUGUAAUUUAGUACCUAAUUACGCUUCUCUAGCCAUAACUGGAAAUGUGGUAUUAAAAUCCUUACAUGCUCCUUGGCUAUCAGCAUGUACCUUUGUCAAUAUCCUGGCAUUGCAGAGAUUUCUUUAAUGUACAAUCUCUGGGCUCACGUCUCUCCCUGUCGCUGAUCCUCCCCUGUCGGUUGCAGAUUUACUCGUUGCUGUUGCAGGUCGCGUUGAGAGCCGCGGUCUUGCUUGAAUCAAAUAGAGGAGUUCAGCUCCUUCCGAAAGAAGUGUGUGCAUACGUGGUUUUCACAAGGGCUUCAUCUUCUGUCUGCUCGCGGUCCCAGCCCAAGAACAUAAGGUCUUAGGAUUCCGCCGUGGGAAAACCCGCCACCUUCAACCGUCGUGCCUGACACAUAAUAAGUGCUCGAUAAAGUUUGCUUCUUUAGUACUUUUCACCUUGUUUCAUAUCUCUAGGCCAGUGGUCCUCAGUUCCGGAGGCAUAUAAGGAAAUGUGUACCUUAAAAAAAAAAAAAAUGGUCGUGCCUGGUGUCAUGUCAGAACAAUGAAAUCUGCGCCUCUCUGGUGAGGGCUUCCAGAUGGUUCCGACAAGCAAGAAGGAUUGAGAUCACUGCCCCAGGCACGGCUAACAUAUGUAUGUUCCGAGGAGCCACUGUUUCCGGUAGGAUCGGUUCCAGUACAGAGCAGCUAUUAGCAAAUGGUCACAAACUGAGCUUCUGCUUACAACUUUUCUGUGAGCUCUUUAGCAUCGCCGGGAAGAGCAGUGGCGAAGGAAGGAUGCAGGUUUUACAGUGGGAACAAUACUUUUGAGGACAUCGAGCUAUUUCAGAGAAAGACUGUCCUAAUAGCCGUUAUUUGCGUCUGAAAGAAUGUUCGCUGUUCUAACUUCCAAGUGUUUUAUGCAAGUUCUCCCAUCAGGCAAAGCCCCCUGUUGGGAGAGCUGGGUGGACAUGUGCACAGUGUGCAGAUGGCUCAUAACCAGCAGCCCUGCUAGCAAGAGUCAGGAACACAUCCAGGGCUUCUGCUUUGGAAACGUCUAUUUGCAACCAAGGGAAAAAAGAGAAACACAACAACUGGUAUGUCAGUAAGUCACCCUCUAAGAAAACAUGUUUUCUGACACCUCCUCCGUGUUCAGAGAUAGCCUUUCUGAGCAAAGAGCACCUGUGUGCUGAGGAUCAUGGUUAGUCUGGGUGCCAUGGACUUCCUGUAGGCUGACCCCCUGCCCCACCAACAAUCUUCAUCCACGUCCUCAGACGCCCUGGGCAGCCCUCUCGCCAUGGCACGUGAAAUUCCCAAGCACCGUGGAGCGCCUGGGUGGCUCAGUCGG